GAUGAACGCUGGCGGCGUGCCUAAUACAUGCAAGUCGAGCGAACGGACGAGGAGCUUGCUUCUCUGAUGUUAGCGGCGGACGGGUGAGUAACACGUGGAUAACCUACCUAUAAGACUGGGAUAACUUCGGGAAACCGUAGCUAAUACCGGAUAAUAUUUUGAACCGCAUGGUUCAAUAGUGAAAGACGGUCUUGCUGUCACUUAUAGAUGGAUCCGCGCUGCAUUAGCUAGUUGGUAAGGUAACGGCUUACCAAGGCAACGAUGCAUAGCCGACCUGAGAGGGUGAUCGGCCACACUGGAACUGAGACACGGUCCAGACUCCUAAGGGAGGCAGCAGUAGGGAAUCUUCCGCAAUGGGCGAAAGCCUGACGGAGCAACGCCGCGUGAGUGAUGAAGGUCUUCGGAUCGUAAAACUCUGUUAUUAGGGAAGAACAUAUGUGUAAGUAACUGUGCACAUCUUGACGGUACCUAAUCAGAAAGCCACGGCUAACUACGUG
RNAcentral lists this ribosomal RNA (497 nucleotides) under uncultured bacterium. Its description in RNAcentral is "partial 16S ribosomal RNA". It matches the Rfam family "Bacterial small subunit ribosomal RNA", at positions 28 to 507 of the family's 1533-position model. The record is from RNAcentral.